RNAcentral lists this unclassified non-coding RNA (301 nucleotides) under Radiomyces spectabilis. RNAcentral's name for it is "RNase P RNA". Lineage: Eukaryota; Fungi; Mucoromycota; Mucoromycetes; Mucorales; Radiomycetaceae. The record is from RNAcentral.
ACUUAGGAAUUUUAAUAGUUAACAAAAUAAAAAUUUUGAGGAAAGUCCGGGACUAAAAACAAAAAAUUUCUUUAAAUAAUAAAAUAAGAAAAAUGUUUUAAUUCGAAACCUUAAUGAAAUUAACAUCUGGUAUGAAUCAGGGUAAUAAAAAGAAAAACUAAUUUUUAUAAAUAAGUAAUUUAAAAAUUAGAAGAAUAUAUAACCUAAGGUUAGUCUUUUAUCAAAAGUCUAAUUAAACCGAUUAACUUUUGAUAUAGUUAAAUAAACCUAUAUUACCAAAUCUGGCUUAUUAAAUUCUAAG